This 387-nucleotide ribosomal RNA is filed under the name Chrysophyceae sp. Its description in RNAcentral is "partial small subunit ribosomal RNA". It matches the Rfam family "Eukaryotic small subunit ribosomal RNA", at positions 583 to 975 of the family's 1831-position model. Lineage: Eukaryota; Chrysophyceae. The record is from RNAcentral.
UUCCAGCUCCAAUAGCGUAUACUAAAGUUGUUGCAGUUAAAAAGCUCGUAGUUGGAUUUCUGGUCGAGGCAGCCGGUCGGCACCAAGUGUGUUUGUACCAGGCGCCUCGUCCACUUUUGUAGAAGCUGUGUCCGUCAUUCAGUUGUCGGGCAUAGGGUCUGCAUCAUUUACUGUGAGCAAAAUAGAGUGUUCAAAGCAGGCUUAGGCCAUGAAUACAUUAGCAUGGAAUAAUAAGAUAAGACCUUGGUCUAUUUUGUUGGUUAGCAUUCCGAGGUAAUGAUUAAUAGGGAUAGUUGGGGGUAUUCGUAUUCAAUUGUCAGAGGUGAAAUUCUUGGAUUUAUUGAAGACGAACUACUGCGAAGGCAUUUACCAAGGAUGUUUUCAUUA